Long non-coding RNA from Heterocephalus glaber (naked mole-rat), 1077 nucleotides. The record is from Ensembl. NCBI's taxonomy places the organism in Eukaryota, Metazoa, Chordata, Mammalia, Rodentia, Bathyergidae.
UUUUUCCAUAGGAAAAAAAUAUUUUAUUUUUUUAAGAACAAAUUCAGUUUGAAACAGACGAGGAGUGCGGCUUCACGGAGCUUGUGUUCUGGGGGCUGACUGCGAUGUGGAACUAAAGCAGAUCGAAACCUAGGACGGGCUAUUUGAAUAAAACGAAGGGAGAAAAAAAUAUUUAUAACUCAAGCAUAAUACUGUGUUACUUACAAAUUGAACAACGAAAUUUUAAAUAAAUAUCCAUGGUACAUAAUUACGGCACAAAUAUGCAGCAAUUUGGCAACCUUUUAUACCUUAUUUUCCUCUUACAGUGCAAAGGGGAAAUGACACUGCCGUUAGACAAGCUGUAGCUAAAUACAUUGCAAAAUUCAGAUUUUAUACAAAACAUCUUGCUUAGACUUUAUAAAAAACCAACAUUGCUCUAUGUACACAAUCUGGAUAAGAAAAGCCAUUUCUGUCUUGUUUUCAUGUGUAUUUUUUUAUUAAAAACUUGAAUAAGGCUACUGUAACACCCCAAAUCCAAGGACAGUAAAUUCGGAACCUAUUUACACCUUCUUCACUUAAACAUGACGGUGCGAUCCCGAAGCCGGGUGACCAGAAUACAAGCAAGGCAUUUACAGUAACUUUCCAAAGCGGAGCCAACUCCGAAUAAGGGGACAGUUGGCGGAUUGUCAUUUUUUGCACCAGACACAAAACAGACUCACAGAACACUUCCUUUUCUUCAACUGGUGGUGGCUAACUCUUCAUCGGUUCAUCUGAUUUUCCUUUUUCACAGUUUAGCACAUAACUCAAAGGUGGCCAACCGGGGAUACACACGCUUGAUUUCAUUAAAAUCAGACAUUUUCCCAUGUUCCUCUCCUCGCCCCUCUCCCCACUCCUACAAGGAACUUCUGAUGGCUUACAAGAAAAUCUUGUAUGAAUGCACAGAAAGGAGAGGUUGGAGCGACGGAAAGAAUUACAUAUGUACUGCAGCCGGUCGCCAUGGCAACCCUCCACAGAACUAUGAUAUAGAUAUAUAUAAUAUAUACUGGAGAUAUAUAUUAUACAUAUAUGUACACAGGUACACCACACACCCACUCGCAC